GAAAGACUAGAGUAGAAGACCAGCAGCCAGUUGUUAGGAGAAGGAAGGUCUCUGUGUCAUGUGGGAUGGAGCUGAAGGAAGAAAUGCAAAUGGAUAUGGUGGGUUUUGAAAUGAAACUCAGCAGUUUGGUGUGUUGUGAGCAGCAUCCUGAGUCCCUGGCUUGGAUCAAAAUCUCCUUGUGCUAAGCACAGUGAAAAUUCAAAGUAAGAAGCAGUUCCUGAACAACUCAACAGCAAAGAUAUUAAAAUGGUAGGGAAGAGGAGCUAAGUGUCUUUUGAGCACAUAUAGCAGAGCUGGAUUCGAGCCUACAUUGGGCUCCUCACACAGAAGCUGAGGCACUGUGAUGGUUUCUGCAAGAGUUUCUGAACAAAGUGAAUGGCAUGUGCAAGGCUCGAUCUGCAGCAGCCCUUGAAAGUCCCACCUGAUGCUCAAAAGCAGAAGGACGUACUUGGAAGAGCCCCAGCAUCUUCUUUUAGUUACAACUUGCUCCUGUUGGAAGCAAAGAGAGUUCAUCACUGAUUUCUCAGCCCAGCAAGUGCUGAGGA
RNAcentral lists this long non-coding RNA (545 nucleotides) under Cyanistes caeruleus (blue tit). RNAcentral's name for it is "lncRNA (ENSCCEG00000021101.1)". The record is from RNAcentral. Lineage: Eukaryota; Metazoa; Chordata; Aves; Passeriformes; Paridae.